Molecule: ribosomal RNA, 556 nt
Filed under: fungal sp. SNB-LD8.2
Lineage: Eukaryota; Fungi
Description: partial large subunit ribosomal RNA
Source: RNAcentral
CUACCUGAUCCGAGGUCAACCUUUGGAAAAUUGGGGGGUUUUACGGCAAGAGUCCCUCCGGAUCCCAGUGCGAGACGAAAUGUUACUACGCAAAGGAGGCUCCGGGAGGGUCCGCCACUACCUUUGAGGGCCUACGUCGACCGUAGAGCCCCAACACCAAGCAGAGCUUGAGGGUUGAAAUGACGCUCGAACAGGCAUGCCCGCCAGAAUGCUGGCGGGCGCAAUGUGCGUUCAAAGAUUCGAUGAUUCACUGAAUUCUGCAAUUCACAUUACUUAUCGCAUUUCGCUGCGUUCUUCAUCGAUGCCAGAACCAAGAGAUCCGUUGUUAAAAGUUUUGAUUAUUUUGCUUAUGCCACUCAGAAGAAACGUCGUUACAAUAGAGUUUGGUUAUCCUCCGGCGGGCGCCGGGUCCGGUCCCGCGGGGGGUCCGGUCCGGGCCGGGAGGCGUCCUUUUCAGGGGACGGCCUACCCGCCGAAGCAACAGUUGUAGGUAUGUUCACAAAGGGUUAUAGAGCGGUAACUCAGUAAUGAUCCCUCCGCAGGUUCACCUACGGAA